This 517-nucleotide ribosomal RNA is filed under the name uncultured bacterium. Its description in RNAcentral is "bacterial SSU rRNA". It matches the Rfam family "Bacterial small subunit ribosomal RNA", at positions 109 to 661 of the family's 1533-position model. The record is from RNAcentral.
AGUAACGCGUGGAAACCUACCAUUCUGUACGGAAUAACGAUUGGAAACGAUCGCUAAUACCGUAUACGCCCUGUGGGGGAAAGGUCCGCCGCAGAAUGAAGGGUCCGCGUCCGAUUAGCUUGUUGGUGGGGUAAAAGCCUACCAAGGCGAUGAUCGGUAGCUGGUCUGAGAGGAUGAUCAGCCACACUGGGACUGAGACACGGCCCAGACUCCUACGGGAGGCAGCAGUGGGGAAUAUUGGACAAUGGGGGCAACCCUGAUCCAGCAAUGCCGCGUGUGUGAAGAAGGCCUUAGGGUUGUAAAGCACUUUCAAUGGUGAAGAUGAUGACGGUAGCCGUAGAAGAAGCCCCGGCUAACUUCGUGCCAGCAGCCGCGGUAAUACGAAGGGGGCGAGCGUUGUUCGGAAUUACUGGGCGUAAAGGGCGCGCAGGCGGCCAAUCCAGUCAGGUGUGAAAGCCCCGGGCUUAACCUGGGAACUGCACUUGAUACUGAUUGGCUAGAAAACGGAAGAAGGGAG